UGGGGAAUAUUGGGCAAUGGCCGAGAGGCUGACCCAGCGACCCCGCGUGAGGGAAGAAGUUUUAAGGAACGUAAACCUCUUUUCUGGGGGAAGAUGACUGACGGUACCCCAGGAAUAAGGGACGGCUAACUAUGUGCCAGCAGCCGCGGUAAUACAUAGGUCUCGAGCGUUAUCCGGAGUUACUGGGCGUAAAGGGUCCGUAGCCGGCAAUGCAAGUCUGCUUUCAAAGUUCUAUGCUCAACAUAGGGAAGGGGGUGGAAACUGCAAAGCUAGAGUCAGGUAGAGGUUAGUGGAAUUCCCGGUGGAGAGGUGAAAUUCGUUGAUAUCGGGAGGAAAGCCGAAAGCGAAAGCAGCUAACUAUGCCUGAACUGACGGUGAGGGACGAAAGCUUGGGUAGCAAAUA
Molecule: ribosomal RNA, 403 nt
Filed under: uncultured bacterium
Lineage: Bacteria
Description: bacterial SSU rRNA
Rfam family: Bacterial small subunit ribosomal RNA
Source: RNAcentral